Camellia sinensis is the source of this 3505-nucleotide non-coding RNA. The record is from RefSeq and is a predicted model, not a curated record. NCBI's taxonomy places the organism in Eukaryota, Viridiplantae, Streptophyta, Magnoliopsida, Ericales, Theaceae.
UAAAAAUUGGACUUCAGAUUUCAGAGGGAAAAUUAAUUGGCUACUAAAGUCGUUAGUUGGAAAAACGUCUUUAUUUAUUAUUGGCGACUACAAAAAUUGGUCGGGAAGGAAAAUAAACUAGGUUUAAAAAAUACACUUCCAUACGCUCAGACUCUCAUACGUUUUUCUGUCUCUCACUCUGUGACUCUCUCUCUCUCUCUCUUUCUCACUCUCUCACGUCUCUGCCCUCUCUCUCGCCUUUGUCUCCAUCGUCGUCGGGUACGGGAGCAUCACCGUCAUCGCACACGAGCACCACCGUUAAUCCACCAUUGGAGCAUUACCCCAGCUCUGUUCUGAUAGCAGCUCUGUUCUUGACACUGGCGAGCUCGGACGCCCCUUUCAUCGUCGCCCACAAGAAGGCCACUCUCACCAGGCUCAAGUCCAGUGUCGAACGUGUCUUCGCUUCCAUCGACAUCUACAACCAAGGAUCUGCGUAUGCGAUUCCACCAUUUCCUUUCUCUUUAGUCUUCUUUGAUCUCUCUAAAUUCUACAGUAGGAAUAACCAACACGCAUAACCAAAAAUUAUAAUUAAAAUAUUGUCAUGACGAAAAUUAAUCCUACUGAAAGAAUAAGAAGAAAAUAGCAUAAGUGCAUAGUACGAAUUUCCCUCUAUUGUAAUAAACUGCAAGAGAGAAAAUUAGUAGUAAUGAAGAUGUGGAACUAUGGUAAGAUUUAUAUUUCAAAUUCUACGAGUCUUUCACAGUAAUUUUUCUAACAACUUAGGUGAAAGUCAUAAUUUUUUGGAAAAUUCUUGAAUUUACGUAGGCCUUGUAGCUGAAAAAGUGUUAUCUAGUCGGUCUCUCAACUUUGAUGGGAAAUAAGUAUGGAAGAUAAACUAGAACUUCAAUUCUUGAAUUUGUGAACUAUAGCAUAUUGCCCUUUAAAUCUGAUUGGGUAAGAGAAAUUGUAGGUAAAUGGGAAUUAAAAAGAUAUAAAAUAUCCCUUAUUGAAUAUUUCAACCAUAUUUUGAUGCUUGUUUUAUUCAACUCAGCUUAAACUUGACUUGAGAGGUCGAUAAUUUUAUGAGACUAACCAAGAAACCAAGCUCUAAUUGCUUGGUUUUUUAUGGGCUUGAGUAGAAUCUUGCUUGAGAUCAUUCAUGCAAUAAACUAGUAAACCUCAAUCUUCAUUUUAUAUCUCACCAAAUUUUCUAAUCAAGCUUGAGCAACCCAUUACUUGGCUCAGCUAGUAUUGUUUUCAUUGAACAAUUUUGAAUAGUCUAAAAAAGGAUAGCCCUGUGAUUCUAUGUCCCACUUCAAUGCUAAUGGAUCAGGACUUGAAUCAUGGAUUGUCUUGUAAACACUCUUGAGAAUGCAGUGCUCUCAUAAUAUUGAGAAUGCAGUUCAUUGUCUACUUGUUGUUUGACUCCUCGUAAUCUUAAGGGGAGUUGCUUGGAUAUAUGAUGCUUCUAAUGCAGACUCCUGUGGUUUAUGGAAGGGGAUGGGUAGGUUGUACAUUGUACAGCUGAUGUUGUUCAUCUGAGUUUGUCUAGCUUAUACUAAGUUAGAAACUUAUGGAUAAUUUGAAAUUAUCAAUUGUUUUUCUAAAUGAUAAUUCUAUUUUUGUCCCUCUUUAACUCCUUAAGCCUGUAGGCCAUUUCAUCUAUAGUGGUAAGUGUUCAUACCAAGCUCACACUUGUAGUACAAUUAUUUGCUUCCUCACUGAGAUGGUUUUAGAAAAGAUUUCAUGUUGGAUCUUAGACCAAUAUGGGAAUUUUUCAGAAGCUUUUAAUGUUGACGGGCUAUUUUAGUACUUACAAUGAAUUGAUUUUUUUUUUUUAAGCAGCUUUUAGGUUUGUUGUUGAUUUUAGGUCAAUAAGGAAGGAACUUAACGAGAUUGACUUUGUGGACGUUUGAUGUUUGAAGGGCACCACACUUUGCAAUCCGAUAUUUAGGUCAACUGGCUGUCAUUGUGAUUUUGUUGUGUGUUUUGCCCUUUCUUACACAACAUGCUGUUAAGUUUCAAAUAAUUUUCAUAAUUCCUCAAACCUAUGCCUCAGAUAUUAUUUAAGGAAAAAGGGAGCCAGACUUUGUUGCAUAUUCUCAAGUUUGCCAAACUUUUACUAUUUUGACUUUGUGGCCACAGAAAUGUAGCACUGUAGGGAACAUUUUCUUGGGCAUAUUUUCUAUUACUGUUCUUCAUUUCUAUACUUCACAAAAAACCUGGAGCUUACAUUUAGGCUUUUUAUUAUUGGAAAAAAUGGGCUUAGACUUGCAGAAUAUCUACAUGUUUUUUUAGAGAUAUGUUCUAAUAAUUUAGAAGCUAAUCAAUUUUGGUUUUUGCCUCAAGUCUUGAUUUGCUUGCUCUUAAAUGUACUCUUUUCCUGCCUUACUCACUCAGUAACUGUCUAUCUAUAAUACAUAAGUCGUCUUCUGGAACGCUCUGUUUGAACUAUUGGAAACUUUAUAUGGAACUGAUAUUGGUAGCUGGAUGAAAGAGCAUUCUAUACCCUUUCCUUUUUAAUUUAAUCUUUUCUCUUUUAAGCAUCCUCAUGUAUCUUGCAAUCUUACUUGUCAAACCCAGCCUCAACAUUGACCUUUUGUGGGUGGGAUCAGUGAGUUUUGUGGAGAGUAGUUAUAAAUAUAUUAAUUUAGGGAAAUUAUAUGCACACACCCCCUUUAUAUGUGCCUUUAGUUACAAUCUUUGUGUCUUUGAUUACAUGACCUAUUGUGCUGUUAGUUAUGACAGAUUGUGAUGUUGGUUAUGACAUUAUUUUGGUUAUAAUCUAAGAGUUGUUUGGUUACAUCUCAUGUGAUGUUUGGUUAUAACUCAAAUUUUUAUUUUUAUUUUUUUUAUAGUUAGGACUCCCAUAGCAUGUAUGGAUUUUCGAUGAACGCUCUCGAAAUUUUUUUCGAUCAAAUCCAGGAAAGAAUUCUCAUCUAUAUAUAAAUACAUUGUAUAUGCCCUAUUACUACCUUUGUUCUUCAUGUUUUAUAUCUGAAUGUGGUCAGAUUGAAUUCGAAUGUGCCUUUUGUGAUUUAUUUUCUUGAAUUUUUUUUUAUAAAUAUUAUAUAUGAAUUACUGUGCUUCGUUUGUGGAGUUAAAAAAAAAAAAUGAUCAGCUUUAUAUUUGCUUUUUUAAUGUUUGUGUUUUGUGGAUACUCUCUCAAUCAAUUUCUUCUUUUUUGUCAUCCAGGUACUUUCUUUAUAUAAAUCUAUACCACAUAGAUUACAUAUACGAAGAUGGUUUUGGACAUAAAAUAUGGAUAUGAUUUUUUUUGACAAGUACGGAAGGGCAUUGUUUUUAUACAUCUACCCAUAUAUAUAGUGGUUUGUACAAAUUACUUUUUUGGUGUGGUAAAUAUCAGCUAAUUUGGCAUGGUAGAAAUUAGCAUAUAUGCUAAUUUAGGUUGUGGUACAUAUGUCCUUUUUGUUAAUUAAUUUGGUUAGUCCUUGGUUAUGUAUGGAAUUAAAUUAUUUACGUUGGAUUAUACUUGGUUCAUAUGGAAUUUGUAUUAUAUAUAGAA